RNAcentral lists this ribosomal RNA (253 nucleotides) under uncultured bacterium. Its description in RNAcentral is "partial 16S ribosomal RNA". It matches the Rfam family "Bacterial small subunit ribosomal RNA", at positions 524 to 776 of the family's 1533-position model. The record is from RNAcentral.
UACGUAGGGGGCAAGCGUUGUCCGGAAUCAUUGGGCGUAAAGCGCGUGUAGGCGGCAGGGUAUGUCGGAUGUGAAAUCCCGUGGCUCAACCACGGAAGUGCACCCGAAACCACCCAGCUAGAGUCUCGGAGAGGAAGGCGGAAUGCUUGGUGUAGAGGUGAAAUUCGUAGAUAUCAAGCGGAACACCGGUGGCGAAGGCGGCCUUCUGGACGAUGACUGACGCUGAGACGCGAAAGCGUGGGGAGCGAACAGG